CAGUCGCCGCGGGAAUACGAAGGGGGCUAGCGUUGUUCGGAAUUACUGGGCGUAAAGCGCACGUAGGCGGACAUUUAAGUCAGGGGUGAAAUCCCGGGGCUCAACCCCGGAACUGCCUUUGAUACUGGGUGUCUAGAGUAUGGAAGAGGUGAGUGGAAUUCCGAGUGUAGAGGUGAAAUUCGUAGAUAUUCGGAGGAACACCAGUGGCGAAGGCGGCUCACUGGUCCAUUACUGACGCUGAGGUGCGAAAGCGUGGGGAGCAAACAGGAUUAGAUACCCGCGUAGUCCCUGUCUCUUAUAC
RNAcentral lists this ribosomal RNA (301 nucleotides) under uncultured bacterium. RNAcentral's name for it is "partial 16S ribosomal RNA". It matches the Rfam family "Bacterial small subunit ribosomal RNA", at positions 509 to 807 of the family's 1533-position model. The record is from RNAcentral.